Molecule: transfer RNA, 72 nt
Filed under: Cladophialophora carrionii CBS 160.54
Lineage: Eukaryota; Fungi; Ascomycota; Eurotiomycetes; Chaetothyriales; Herpotrichiellaceae
Description: tRNA-Ala (TGC) (tRNA-Ala-TGC-1-1)
Rfam family: tRNA
About the family: Transfer RNA (tRNA) molecules are approximately 80 nucleotides in length. Their secondary structure includes four short double-helical elements and three loops (D, anti-codon, and T loops).
Source: RNAcentral
GGGGUUGUAACUCAGGGGUAGAGUGCCUGCUUUGCAUGCAGGAAGGCCGGGGUUCAAAUCCCCGCAGCUCCA